GGCGGGGCAGAACGCUCGCUUUGGCUGCGGGAGUGAGUGUGAGUGUGAGAGCAAGAACAGCCCGCAGGUCCCGAGGCGCUUGCAGGGGACUCUGCCGCGGAAAGUUCCCAGUCCCCAGCCGCAGGGGCACGUAUCAAAGUCAUAUGUCCACAUGCCUAGCCAACCCCAUGGUAUUCCUGAAGCCCAUCUGGAUGAGUGGAAUUCAUGUGAAGUCCUUCUACCUAGUUCCCCUUCCUUGUGCACAGAAGAGGACUGGAAAACUCUCCUCAUAGGACUGCAUACUGCUAUCUCUGAGAAGUAAGCAGUAUUUACUUUCUUACUUGUGUUUUCUUGAAUGUAUUUUGCUCUUUUUAUUUA
This 357-nucleotide long non-coding RNA is filed under the name Mus spicilegus (steppe mouse). Its description in RNAcentral is "lncRNA (ENSMSIG00000019666.1)". The record is from RNAcentral. Lineage: Eukaryota; Metazoa; Chordata; Mammalia; Rodentia; Muridae.